This 229-nucleotide ribosomal RNA is filed under the name uncultured bacterium. RNAcentral's name for it is "partial 16S ribosomal RNA". It matches the Rfam family "Bacterial small subunit ribosomal RNA", at positions 568 to 796 of the family's 1533-position model. The record is from RNAcentral.
UGCGUAGGUGGCCAAAUUAGUCAGAGGUGAAAUCCUACAGCUUAACUGUAGAACUGCCUUUGAAACUGUUUGGCUAGAAUAGAGUUGAGGUUAGCGGAAUGUGACAUGUAGCGGUGAAAUGCAUAGAUAUGUCAUAGAACACCAAUUGCGAGGGCAGCUAACUGGGCUUUUAUUGACGCUGAGGCACGAAAGCGUGGGGAGCGAACAGGAUUAGAUACCCUGGUAGUCC